This 389-nucleotide ribosomal RNA is filed under the name Acidiferrobacteraceae bacterium. RNAcentral's name for it is "bacterial SSU rRNA". It matches the Rfam family "Bacterial small subunit ribosomal RNA", at positions 1 to 374 of the family's 1533-position model. Lineage: Bacteria; Pseudomonadati; Pseudomonadota; Gammaproteobacteria; Acidiferrobacterales; Acidiferrobacteraceae. The record is from RNAcentral.
AACUGGAGAGUUUGAUCCUGGCUCAGAUUGAACGCUGGCGGUAGGCCUAACACAUGCAAGUCGAACGGUAACGGACCGCUGGGAUCCCUUCGGGGUGACCUUGGUGCCGACGAGUGGCGGACGGGUGAGUAACACGUAGGAAUCUGCCCAACAGAGGGGGACAACCCGGAGAAAUCCGGGCUAAUACCGCAUACGCCCUACGGGGGAAAGCGGGGGAUCUUCGGACCUCGCGCUGUUGGAGGAGCCUGCGUCGGAUUAGUUUGUUGGUGAGGUAACGGCUCACCAAGGCGACGAUCCGUAGCUGGUCUGAGAGGAUGAUCAGCCACACUGGGACUGAGACACGGCCCAGACUCCUACGGGAGGCAGCAGUGGGGAAUAUUGCACAAUGG